Molecule: ribosomal RNA, 427 nt
Filed under: uncultured eukaryote
Lineage: Eukaryota
Description: bacterial SSU rRNA
Rfam family: Eukaryotic small subunit ribosomal RNA
Source: RNAcentral
CGGGGUAGAGGCCCGCCGCGGUAACGACGGGUAACGGGGAAUCAGGGUUCGAUUCCGGAGAGGGAGCCCGAGAAACGGCUACCACUUCCAAGGAAGGCAGCAGGCGCGCAACUUACCCUAAUCUCGAUUCGAGGAGGUAGUGACAAGAAAUACCGAUGCGGGACCCUACGGGUGCCGCGUUCGGAAUGAGUACGAUUCGAACCACCUAACGAGGAACGAUCGGAGGGCAAGUCUGGUGCCAGCAGCCGCGGUAAUUCCAGCUCCAAUAGCGUACGUUAAAGUUGCUGCAGUUAAAAAGCUCGUAGUUGAACGUUCGGGUUCCGCGGGACGGGGCCGCCCCGCGAGGGACGGCGCCGCCCCGGGGCUCGUGAUAUCUUAUCUCGCCGCCCGUCGCGAGGCGGACGGAGGGAUGGAUGAGGUUACCUGG